GAUGAACGCUGGCGGCGUGCCUAAUACAUGCAAGUCGAGCGAACAGACGAGGAGCUUGCUCCUCUGACGUUAGCGGCGGACGGGUGAGUAACACGUGGAUAACCUACCUAUAAGACUGGGAUAACUUCGGGAAACCGGAGCUAAUACCGGAUAAUAUAUUGAACCGCAUGGUUCAAUAGUGAAAGACGGUUUUGCUGUCACUUAUAGAUGGAUCCGCGCCGCAUUAGCUAGUUGGUAAGGUAACGGCUUACCAAGGCAACGAUGCGUAGCCGACCUGAGAGGGUGAUCGGCCACACUGGAACUGAGACACGGUCCAGACUCCUACGGGAGGCAGCAGUAGGGAAUCUUCCGCAAUGGGCGAAAGCUUGACGGAGCAACGCCGCGUGAGUGAUGAAGGUCUUCGGAUCGUAAAACUCUGUUAUUAGGGAAGAACAAAUGUGUAAGUAACUAUGCACGUCUUUACGGUACCUAAUCAGAAAGCCACGGCUAACUACGUG
RNAcentral lists this ribosomal RNA (497 nucleotides) under uncultured bacterium. RNAcentral describes it as "partial 16S ribosomal RNA". It matches the Rfam family "Bacterial small subunit ribosomal RNA", at positions 28 to 507 of the family's 1533-position model. The record is from RNAcentral.